CCCUAAGUUGACUUUUUCCAGAGAAAGGUGGUUGGGGAUAGCCCCCUGUUAAUGUCAGAAGAGUUGGUGAAAGGCACAAAAUAGUAAGACAGACUGACUCUGGUUUUGGGGUAGAUGCUCGAGCAGAUUCAGGGGGUCCCUUGAGGCCUGAUCCGCCUUUGCCCGUCAGGUCUCUUCUGCAUGACCUUUGUCAUGGGUGGGAUCUCAUGGGGUCACAAAGAGUCAGACACAACUUAGCGACUAAAUAGCAAUAUUAUUCAGCUAGCCUCACCAUCCCCCUUUAAACACAAAUAAAUCAGAACCUAAGUGCCCCUUUGACCGCCUAACGUUGUACCCCAUCCUGUGUCCCAAGAGAGACCACUAUUAACUCAACUUGGGGUGUAUUUUUUUGACCAUUUUUAUCUUUAACAUAUGUACAUAUAUUCACACAGCAGAUUUAUUUAGUAUAUUGUUGAUGGUGAAUUUUUUAAAUUAAAAACUCAAGUGGCAUAUUAUUCAACAUCGUUCUCUGUUUUAAGAUUCAUCUAUUAAUAGAUACAAAAGUAGUUCAGCUGCCACCAUUGAAAACUAUUUGCGUUUCGUAGUAAAAUAUACACAAAAUUUGCCAUUUUAACCACUUUUAAAUCUGCAGCUCCACGGCAUUAAGCACAUUCACAUUGUUGUACAACCUCCACCAUCAACUCCGAUUUUCAUCAGCAUAAACUGAAACUCUGUCCCCCUUAAACAACUCCCCGAUUCCCCAUCGCCCUCACCCCAGGGACCUCUCUUCUUUCUAUUUCGAUGAGUUUGCCUCUUUCAGAUAUUUCGUAUAAGAAGCAUCACAUAGUAUUGAUGCUUUUCUGUCUGAUUUUGUCUCACUUUGCAUAAUGUUUUCAAGCUUCCUGCAUCUCACAGCACUAUCGGCACUUCAUCUGGCAAUCCAGGCCUUCUGUUUGCGCUCAAUCGACCUGCACCUGUUUACAUUUUCUUUUGCAAGCCAUCUGCAACCUUUUCCACCUGGGUUUGAUCUGUCCCUGCCAAUGAAUUGUAAACUAGGGCCAAAAAAAAAAAAAAAAAAACCACCAAGGGACACUGGUUCGAUCCCUGGUGUGGGAGGACCCACGUGCCUCUCAGCAACCGAGUCCGUGAGCUCCAACUACUGAAGCCUGGUCUGGGUAACUGGAGCACCUGGGUUACCAGGUACACGCUCCAGGAGGAGCAAAUGAUUUUAUUUCUUAGACUUCUCUUUUCCCAUCUGGAAAAUGGGGCUAAUUCCUGUCUCAGCUCCUUGACUGUAAAAAUAAGGCAUCGCAGGGUGAUCAUCCCUGGUGAUCCAGUGACUAAGACUCUGCACUCCCAAUGCAGGGGGCCCGGGUUCAAUCGCUGGUCAGGGAACUAAGAUCCUACAUGCCACAACUAAAGACCCUGCACAGCCAAAUAAAUAAGUUAAUAAAAAUAGAUUAAAAAAAAAUAAGGCAUAUGUAUAGAAAAGCCUGCAUGGGCAGAUCUUGCCUCUUGACAAGUCAACCCCCGGCAGCCUGGUCUGGGUGGCCUGAGGUUCCCCCGACGCCUGGCAGGGGCUUGACAGAGGAAAUAAAAAGCUACAGAAACCCUUUCUAACCCUCCUUCCUCCUCUCCUCUUGGCUGGAAGGGCUGGGAUGGUUUUUCUGGGCUGGAAAUAUUUGUCUUUGUUCGAGAAGAGAAAGACGGCUGAGCAGGUGUAGGCUGCACAUAGAGACUUCCUGCCAGAGAAAAUAGCAUGGAGAAGGGUAAAGAGUAACUUUGCAGCGGAGAUGCCUGAGGAGCAUGAACGCCAAGGCAGGUGACCAAAGUCAAUAGCGAGAUGAUGGCGCGUCGAUAGUAUUACCUUUGACUUGAGGCGACGACAAUGGCACCUGGUCUGUGUGGCACAUGGUCUGCCUUCCAACAUGCCCCUGCUCACAGUCUGAUCGUGAGAAAAGCAGCAGACAAAUCCCAAAGGACACUCCACAAACACCUGCCCCCUCCUCCUCAAAACUGUCAAGAUCAUGAAAAACGAGAAAAGUGUGAAACUGUCACAGCCAAGAGGAGCCUAAGGAGACACGGCAGUUAAAUGUAACGUGGUCCCCUGGAGGGUGUCCCAGAGCAGAAAGAGGAUAUUAAGGGGGGAAAAAAAAAACAAGGAAAUCUGAAUAAAGCAUGGACUUUCGUUAAUGAUGUAUCAAUAUCAGUUCAUUCAUUGUCACAUACCAUCCUCAUGUUAAAUGUUAAUAAUCAGGGAAACUGGGUAUAUGUAUUACUAGCCCAAUUUCUGUACUAUCAUCCCAAUUAUUUUGUAAAUCUAAAACUGAAAAAUAAAGUCUAGUUGUAAAAACAAAAAA
Long non-coding RNA from Bubalus bubalis (water buffalo), 2339 nucleotides. RefSeq lists it as uncharacterized. The record is from RefSeq and is a predicted model, not a curated record. The transcript has 2 exons. Lineage: Eukaryota; Metazoa; Chordata; Mammalia; Artiodactyla; Bovidae.